UAAUACAGAGGGUGCAAGCGUUAAUCGGAAUUACUGGGCGUAAAGCGCGCGUAGGUGGUUUGUUAAGUUGGAUGUGAAAUCCCCGGGCUCAACCUGGGAACUGCAUUCAAAACUGACUGACUAGAGUAUGGUAGAGGGUGGUGGAAUUUCCUGUGUAGCGGUGAAAUGCGUAGAUAUAGGAAGGAACACCAGUGGCGAAGGCGACCACCUGGACUAAUACUGACACUGAGGUGCGAAAGCGUAGGGAGCAAACAGGAUUAGAUACCCUGGUAGUCCACGCCGUAAACGAUGUCAACUAGCCGUUGGGAGCCUUGAGCUCUUAGUGGCGCAGCUAACGCAUUAAGUUGACCGCCUGGGGAGUACGGCCGCAAGGUUAAA
RNAcentral lists this ribosomal RNA (378 nucleotides) under uncultured bacterium. Its description in RNAcentral is "bacterial SSU rRNA". It matches the Rfam family "Bacterial small subunit ribosomal RNA", at positions 521 to 898 of the family's 1533-position model. The record is from RNAcentral.